This 496-nucleotide small RNA is filed under the name Pan troglodytes (chimpanzee). RNAcentral describes it as "retained intron". The record is from RNAcentral. Lineage: Eukaryota; Metazoa; Chordata; Mammalia; Primates; Hominidae.
UCGCAUAGCAACAUGAUUAUAAUACCUGUUUUGUGUCUGAUCAUACCACCCCUCAGGAAUGCUUUUGUAAAUAAGCCAUUCUCUAAAGGCAUCUUAUUGCUGAAAAUUAAACCGUAACUCGACUUUCAGUCGGGAUUGGUUUAAAAUGAUCUUGCUUGUUGCAUUAAGUUCUCCUCCUUUCUCUGCCCUCCUCGCCAGAUGCAGCUAAGCCCUUCAGCGUGGUGGUCUUCCAUUGCCGGCACAUGUUCCACAAGGAGUGUCUGCCCAUGCCCAGCAUGAACUCUGCUGCACAGUUCUGCAACAUCUGCAGUGCUAAGAACCGUGGACCAGGAAGUGCAAUUUUGGAGAUGAAAAAAUAGCUCAUUUCUCCUUGUCAGUCUCCUUGUCACCACUCUUUUUGAGACUGUUUUUGCAACAACAAAAGCAUUUGUUGACACUCGUGCUGUUAAGAGAUUUGUUUAUGUUUAUAUUAUACUCAAAAACAAUUUCUUCAUCU